GUUGAACGCUGGCGGUAUGCUUAACACAUGCAAGUCGAACGAUGAGAAAGAGCUUGCUCUUUCGAUUAGUGGCGGACGGGUGCGUAACGCGUAGGAACCUACCUAUUAGUGGGGGACAACUUAGGGAAACUUAAGCUAAUACCGCAUACGCACUACGGGGGAAAGAAGGGGAUCGCAAGACCUUUUGCUAAUAGAUGAGCCUGCGUAGGAUUAGCUAGUUGGUGGGGUAAAAGCUCACCAAGGCGACGAUCCUUAACUGGUUUGAGAGAAUGAUCAGUCACACUGGAACUGAGACACGGUCCAGACUCCUACGGGAGGCAGCAGUGGGAAAUAUUGGACAAUGGGCGAAAGCCUGAUCCAGCAAUACCGCGUGUGUGAAGAAGGCCUUAGGGUUGUAAAGCUCUUUCAAUUGGAAGGAAAACCUCGAAGCUAAUACCUUCGAGUUUGACAUUACCUUUAGAAGAAGCACCGGCUAACUCCGUGCCAGCCGCCGCCGUAA
This 499-nucleotide ribosomal RNA is filed under the name uncultured bacterium. Its description in RNAcentral is "partial 16S ribosomal RNA". It matches the Rfam family "Bacterial small subunit ribosomal RNA", at positions 28 to 523 of the family's 1533-position model. The record is from RNAcentral.